UGCCCCUGCCAAAGAGGUGGACACCUUGGUGGGCCUGGAAUUUGGAGUUUGGUCACGCUGGGUCUGUUGGCUGAGCUCCUGGGAGCCAAGGAGCAGAGGCAGAAUCUGUCGCAGGAUCGGGCCUAGAGACAUACAGAACAGAGGGGUAGCAGUGUGGCGCAGGGAGAGCCCGAAGUCGCCAGAGGCCAGAGGGAAGGUAUGCGGCCCUGUGACACCUUGCUCGUGGACUUCCGGCCUCCAGGACUUCACAGCCUGUUCUCGACGGGCCUGCCCAUUGGAGCUGGGGAAAGCUGCCUGCCUGCCCAAUUCUCGGUGACGACUGUGGGGACAGUGAUGGCGAAGGGGGUGUGUGGUGGCCAGUAAGGCAUCAUUAACAUGGUGGAGGUGAGUAGGGUAGCAUUUCUGACGUGGAGGCAGUGGUGAGGGUGAGAGUAAGUAUGGCGGUGAUAGUGGAGUUGAUAAUGACAGACGAGGUGCUGGUGGUGGUGACACUGACCCUGGACGUGUAACAAUGGACGGGAUGGACGGUCAUUGGGCACCAUUGAUAGUGACAGUGGAGGUGUGAUGGGGAGGUGAUGGAAAGGCUACUAUUGGGGAGGGUGGUCAUGGCAGCCAUGGUCCUGGAGGUGGUGACGUUGGUGACGGUGAUGGUGACGAAGGCAAUGGAGUAGAGGAAGUUGCGUGUUGUACAGCUUUGCUUUGGUAACAACCCCCACAUCCCAGAGCCUUAUGACAGCCAUUGAGGCCUUGCCCACUUCUGUCAGCUGCUGGGGUUCCAACUCGUACGUCUUCUCAUCUGGGAUUCCGGAUGAGGAAGGGCUCCGGUCUGGAACGUGGCGUUCUCGUGGCAGAGAGGGUGGGAGAAAGAGCCGGGCGAAAGGCAGAGUGCCUCUGGAAACUUCUCCCGGGAUGGGAUGUAUAUCACCCUUGCUCCUGCCAUGAGGCCAAGGCCAGCAUCAGCGAGGACCUGUGACAGCAAUGGAGGGCUUGCUGACAACAGUCACGAUGUGCUCUAGCUACGGUGUUGAUGCUGAUGGUAAUGAAGCAGCAGGGCCCCUGGUUCUCUAACUGCAUUACCUUCAGGAUGGAUGGGUGACAGCGAUGGAUGGGCCACUGGAUGGACAGUGACAGGUGAGUGAAGGGACUGAAUGAUGGACAGCUAUAAGGGUGGCUAGAUGGUUGAACAGAAAACUGGGAGGUUCAGAGCUCAGCCUGUCAGGUCAGACAGCUCUGCCGUUUACCAGCUGUGUGUUCUUGGGGAAGUCACUUAACCUCUCUGUGUCUCACUUUCUACAUCUCAUCUGUAAAGUGGGAAUAAUAAUAGCAUUUCCUCACAGGAUUGCUGUGAGAACAGCUUAGAACAGAGAAAAGGCUGUGUAUGUGGGUUUGCUAGCCUAACGGGUGGAUAGACGGAUGGAUGGAAGAACAGACAGACAGAUGAAUGAAGGGAAGGGGUAGUAGAUGGACAGGUCUGUGGAAGGAUGGGUAGAAGGGUCGAUGAGCAUAUAAACUGGUGCGCUGAUGGAGGGCUGGUCAGGUGGUGGGUUACUAGACAGGUAGAAGAGACAGUGAACGCCCAGUGCCAGGCAGGGAGGCGUGGGAAGGGUGGGCGGCCUCUCUUCUUCUCCAGAGGUAACAGGACAAUCUCAGCUUAGGUCCUGACACAGACGUGGCUCAGACCUGCUUUCCCUCCCCCAAGACAUCCAGGAAAGUGUCUUGUUCAACCCUCCUGGCCUGUGGUAAUGGGUGCCCACUGGGUCCCCAGGAUCCUUUCCCCUCAACCCCUACCCGGGUAACACCCUUCCUGGUGGUGGUCCACGUGGUCUCUGGAAGCUCAGUUCUAGCCUCCAGUGGAAGGUUACUGCCUGAGCAAAGGCAUCAUUUGUGGGGACCCCACCCCCCCGCCGAGUUCCAAAGUGCACCAGCCUGUUAGGGCAGCCACUCUCCUCCCUCCAACCAUAGUGCCCUAGUCUUCAGCCCAUACCUGCAUGGGGCAACUCUAGGCAGAGCUCUGAUCCAACUUCCAACAGCUCAUCCUAAGCCUCCAGGAGGAUUCAACCCCCACUGCCUACAUACACACCAUGGACCUCUGUAGCUUCUGGAAUGUGGGGCAUCCUGGGUCUUUCUGGAAAGAGUAUAGAACAAAGAAGCCUGAAGUAUCUUCCAGAGUCAAGACCUACAUGCAUAUGUGCAUAUUCAUACCAGCAAUCAUCCACACACUUAUCACCCACUUACCCAUCUAUCCAUCUAUCCAUCCAUCCAUCCACCU
Long non-coding RNA from Prionailurus viverrinus (fishing cat), 2269 nucleotides. RefSeq lists it as uncharacterized. The record is from RefSeq and is a predicted model, not a curated record. Lineage: Eukaryota; Metazoa; Chordata; Mammalia; Carnivora; Felidae. The transcript is spliced from 5 exons.